RNAcentral lists this long non-coding RNA (461 nucleotides) under Gossypium barbadense (sea-island cotton). Its description in RNAcentral is "long non-coding RNA (GBAR_LNC014573)". The record is from RNAcentral. Lineage: Eukaryota; Viridiplantae; Streptophyta; Magnoliopsida; Malvales; Malvaceae.
AGGAGUUUUGGGUCAAGCUCCUAGUAAUCCUCCUACGUCUACGCCGGCGCCACCCACACCACCGGCUUCUACUCCUCCUCCGACGACUCAAGCACCGCCUACACCAACCGCCACUCCGCCACCGGUUUCUACUCCUCCUCCCACUUCAUCACCGCCCCCAGUGACAGCUUCUCCACCCCCAGUUUCAACUCCUCCACCCAGUUCUCCUCCUCCUGCAACUCCACCACCUGCUUCUCCUCCUCCUGCAACUCCACCUCCAGCUUCUCCACCUCCUGCCACUCCUCCACCAGCUUCUCCACCUCCCGCCACUCCACCACCUGCAACCCCACCGCCAGCAACUCCUCCUCCUGCUACCCCACCACCAGCUCCAUUGGCUUCUCCUCCAGCCACAGUCCCAGCUAUCUCUCCAGUACAAACACCAUUGACAUCGCCACCAGCUCCGCCGACCGAGGCCCCAGCAC